GCCAGGCUGGCUCAAUUGGUAGAGCAUGUGACUCUUGAUCUCAGGGUUGUGGGUUCAAGCCCUAUGUUGAGUG
Molecule: transfer RNA, 73 nt
Filed under: Canis lupus familiaris (dog)
Lineage: Eukaryota; Metazoa; Chordata; Mammalia; Carnivora; Canidae
Also listed under: 3 other names
Rfam family: tRNA
About the family: Transfer RNA (tRNA) molecules are approximately 80 nucleotides in length. Their secondary structure includes four short double-helical elements and three loops (D, anti-codon, and T loops).
Source: Rfam by way of RNAcentral